AAGUUGGGUGGGGCCAGAUGCUAAAGCUUGAGUAUCUGGGCUGGUGGUGUUCUUGUGCCUUUAGAGGCAAGGCUUGGCUGAAAGGAGAAAGGGGCACAGCGCCUGGGUCUCAAGAGAAGGGGAUAGGUCUUCUGAUGUCGCCUCUUACCCUGUUGCAAACGCCAGGAGGACAGAGAGGAAAGCCAGCAGCUUUUAGAGGACAGGUUUGAUCUCCAGGCUUAGCUGUGCGUCACUUCCUGCCAGGAAGUCUGGGACUCUGUGCACCAGAGUGUUUUCGGAGAAGGAUACUAGGAUUACACACCCCUCCAAAUGAUCCUCAGCUCAACUCCAUUUGGCUCUUUGAGAGGGCCCCCCAAAACCUGGAUCCUCCCCUGUCCCCUGCCCUCGGGGAGCUGCCCAGAUCCACAGCCACCCUUGGAGCACAGCCAGCCAGAAAGGCGGAAUUGCAGAUGGCAGAGCUGUGUGCAGCUGUGGGACUCCUCAAAGCCGUCUUGGGUUAUAUUCCUGGAAAAGGCACUGCAGGACAAAAAGAAGAAGCUGAUCUUGCUCCUUUUCCACGGAUUGAGCUUUAGAACAUUCUGGGGCUGCCGGAUGCUGUUCAGUGGGUGCUGAGGGGUAGAGACCCUACGGUCUCCCACCGCGAGCCUCGCUGUCCUCCUGCUGCCAGAUUUGCCAGAGAGAAUGCUUGAUGCCGCCGGGCCCUCCCGCCAGGCAGACCUCUGACAAAGUCACCACCAGAGGGGACUUUCAGCCAGGGCUGGCUCCAGUCAGCUUCUGAAACAAGAGGUGCUUUCUUCCUUGCACAACCUUCAGAGAAAAGGGGAACAACUUGACAUCCCAAAGGGCUUCUUGGAAGCAGGGGACAAGGUUAAUCAAGGAAAGAUGGGGCAGGAGGCAUCGAGGGCCCCCUGACUGGUGCUCUGAAGCUUGUGCUUUUUGACUUUGGCUGGGAGAGGGGCAACCAUUUAAGAAAGUGGGUAGGAACAGGGUGAAUAUGGUAUAAUGUAAAUAUAAUGUUUUUAAUUGUUUUCUUUUCACUGGAACUUUCUUUGUGAUAAGUAUAAAAAUAGCACACACACCUUCAGAGAUUCUGCUGCAUCUUGCCCCAGAACGUUGCCCUCUUUGAGAAUUAUUGUUUUUCUGUGUAUCUGCACUAGCUAAGACCAUUUUAUCAAGCCCGACUUACUCUAGUUUUUAUUAUAAAAAAUAAUUUUUAUUUUCCAAAUACAGAAUUAUAGUAUCAUUUGGAUAUGCUUUUUCAAUCUCUGUGUAAAUCCCAAAUUGGAGAUUAAGCUCCCCCAUCCCUCCCCAUUGGAGAAUCACUGAAUCACUGCCCUAAUAUCCAGCACGAGAAAGCAGAAAGCAUUGGCCGUGCUGGGCCGGGACUCUUCCAGGACCCAGUUGUCUCUUGGCCGAGUCGCUCUCCCCAUCCCUCGACAUCAGGGUCUUCUUUGGUCAUUGGGCCCACAGUAAGAAAUUCAGUAAGUAUACGUUGCAUGAAUCUUACACUAUUGAAUUAUCAUCACAUGCUUGGCACAGUGCUAGCACCUGGUGUGUGCCAAGGUACACCUAAGUGUUAGCUGUUGUUCCUAAGCUCCCCGACACGCUGCCUCCUCCACGUGUCCUGUAGUCUGCCCUCUGUUAGGAAGCUCUGGCAGCAAAGAUGCUAAUUUCUUAAGGUGCCCUGGAACAGCUCUCAGCAUCCUCUGUUCCGCAGAACUAUGUGUCACCUCCAGAUGGUGACCAACUGUCCAGAUACCGGCUUCUUUAGGUCAUGUCAGAAGCCUAGUACAGUGCUCACACACAGGAGGGCUCACCGAAUGUUUGUUGAGGGCGUGAGUGGCAGGCCCGGUGCCCUCCACUCAGCAGCCUCUGCGG
Molecule: long non-coding RNA, 1878 nt
Organism: Equus caballus (horse)
Lineage: Eukaryota; Metazoa; Chordata; Mammalia; Perissodactyla; Equidae
Source: Ensembl